CAGGAUGUCGGUCAUAGUAAGCGCCAUUUUAACUUAAUGGUUGAAAAGAUUUAAGUCUACAUUUCUAUUCCAUGUUUAACUCGUGUAAAUGGAUAAGUUAAUCAUAUCAUUGUCAAAAACAAAAGGAUUUACAUUCACAUACAUUGAAAUGUUUGAAACUCAUAGUAUCUUAGAUUCAGGGGGCUCAUCAAAGUGCAGAUAGCUAAUAUCUAGAUGUCAAGCUGGAUAAUCAAUAGAUCGACAAUGUAAAUACGCGAUUUUUGAAGUUCAGCAGUCUAACCUCUUCAACUAAAAUGAUAUUUUGUCAUGGUUCGUUAUUUUUGUCUGUGAUAGGCCUACAUAUACUCGAUGCAUCAUUUAAUGAUUCCGAUAAUCCGGUAAUUCAAUUACAAGAAUUUCGUCAAAGUGACUGUAUUACAGACUGUAGUCGUGGAUUGCUCUCUAACUAUGAUGCACUAGUACUGCAAGCAAAUAUUCUGAACACAGACUCAAUCGACACAAACAAAUAUAACUAUGUGAUAUCUGUUGAAAUGCGCAAUUCAAGCGAUUUUACGAAAAUUAAGGAAAUCCCUCUUACAAGUUGUUUAAACCUCAAGAGUCAUUAUUUUGAUUGCAAAAAUGAGCAAAACAAUUACAAGAUAACCAUAAAACUGAUGGCAUUGGUUAGUAUGGAUCGAAAUGACUUCAUAGUAGCAUUAUCCUAUGAUAAAUUUCGUCUGGAAAGUAACACUAUUAGAAUGACCUCAAUAUAUGAUAGCUUCCAAGCAUCGCAUUACUUGAACGGAAAGCUGCUACCUUCUAAACAAUGUAAAAUACAAAUUAGUAAACAUAGUCCUUUGAUAUUUUGCUGUGGCAAGGAUGUCAAUGUUUCCACAACGAUAGAAUUGUAUCGCAACGGAGAGAGCGUGGCCAAAGCUGAGCAUUGUGUUUCUUAUGAAGAACUAUCGCCAGAAGAACUACCAAAGUUUAGCUUUAAUUGUAACUUUUGUAAUACCACAUUGGAAAAUAUCACGUGCCCGUCUAAUAUGGGUAAGUAAUUGAUAAGCAAAUAUGUACAUACAGGCGUAUUAUACAUUAUUGGACAAAAGAGCGGACACCUUUGUGGGCAUACCGGCUAAUGUCGGUGACCGCCACCAUAUCAACCCCUUCGAAUGACAAUAAGGCCCUUGAAAGAUUUCAGAGUAUUCACCUUUAAAAUGGGUCCAUGAAGUGUUGUGAUUGGCCCUCACUUAGGCUCCCUUUACCUAUAUAAAAUAUAUUAUACAGACUUUGCAGUAGAAUUCGCAAAUAUUUACUGAAAUGUUUCUGAUCUAUAAAUAAAACUUUUUUUGUGUUCUAAUUAGUUUAAAAGUUUAACAUUUUCUACUUGAUCUAAUUUUAGAUGUCUGCACUUUCCCCACUAUUCUAUGAAUACUAUUUACUAGACAGUAUUCGGCGUCUUUCUAUAUUAAAUAGUAGUUUAAAAUGGCAUCACCAUUAGAUAAAAAAAUCAACAUUUAGUUUAGGAAAGGCGCUAAAUAGGAUGUAAGAUGUAAGAGCAUCACUGUGAUAAGUACAUAGAUUUAAACGAAGACACCACCAAUAUGCCAUUGUAGCAUCCACGACAACAUUAAUUCGCCCCUCUCGUUAUAGUCAGUCAGUCCCUGUACCAUACUGGAUGCAAUGCAGUCUCAAACUAAAAUCUUGCUCCAUAUUAGACAAAACAAAAAACAUUGCUCUUGCAAUGCUAGCUUAAAUGAUUGACCCAUACCUUUACAACAAAACUGAAAACACUGACGGCCAGUAGUGAAAGGAUUUCAAUACACCUCUUACCAGCAAAGACGUAAGAAAGCAAACUUACUUAAUAAAGACGCUACGACGUAAGCACAAGCUCUUUUGGCAACAAACACAUCCGAAUGCUUUCUUCUGUUCUUUGUGCGCAACAAACAAGACAAGAACAUCUCAAGUUACGCAAGAUAUUACGCAAUGAACAUUAUUCUAGUGAACGAAAACCUGUAGACUACACACGUUACACAGAGACAAGUUAGCAUUACAUCCACAGUGAUAAAUAUUGUUAUCAUCACUACUGUGCUUAUUUCAACAGCAACGAUAUUUCUAAUAUCCUGCAUAGCCUUUCCUAAGCUUAAAAGUAUGAUAAGAAAAAAAGGUUCAAAGAGUACCUCGAGUUUCAAAGAUGAAUCAAGCAAAGCUUAUUCUUCAAAAAGAACUCUCAAAAUUGAUAGGGAAAAAAUUCCUUGUAGAUCUGAUUCGUAUACUAAUUUGUUCUCCGAAUUAAAAAUUCGAGGUAUUCCACACAAAAAAACAAAACAAAUCCUGAAUACCACUUGUGAUAUUGAUGCAACUUUAUUUGAAAACCUUGAACUUAGAUGUUUAAAUCCACGUAAAGAAACAGAUGAAGACAAAAUACAAAAAAUCGAUAAUGAUCACAAAACUCAGGUAGAAGUUAGCGCAAUUAUUGAAAAAACUGAAGGUAUUUCUGCUGAUUCAUUAUGUGAACCAACAAAACAAAGAGUCAAUCACACAGAAAAAGGCAACAUCAUCACAAUCUACGAUGGUUUAAAACCCAAAACCACUAAAGAGCCGCACAGUGCUGUAGAAGGAAUAAUGCUUUGUAGUGGAAACUCAUUAGCUCUGGAAUAUUGUCAGUCUUUGGAUAGUAUGUUUAAUAUUUAAAUCUGUUAUGGAGCCAUGGGCUCAUAUAGACCAGAGCGCUGAUUAACUUGAAACAAUUCCCAAUUCAUUCUCAGACUAGGACAACUUCUUUCUGUUUAUGUUGGUGAUAAAUUGAAUUUACUUUUUUUUUAAAUUUUGUUUCACAGUUAUUUUCCAUUUGUUGUAUUUGGGAGUCCCCUAUCCCCAAACGUUUUAUAUUCUCUGAUAUUUAUUUGUUGAAAUUGUCUGCUUUUUCAAAUGUUUUUGUAAUAUUACUGUAAAUAAAAAAUGAGAAUGAGUAAGAAGGGUGGAGCUAGCGACUCCACCCUGUAAAACUUGAAUAGCUCCAGAAACGGCAAUAUCGAAUAUAGAGAUAAUUAAACACACUGAUUUUUGGCAGUCUAUAGUAUAUAAAUCUUAUAAAAAGAAAGGAAAUACAAUAAUUGUGCAUUUAAUUUAGAACUAAUAAAAAUAAAGCUAAAGCUAUGAAUGUAUGAAUUCAAGAUUCGAGAGUUUUGUUACUGUUCGUCAUUAUUUGGUUCAAUCUGGGAGGUAGCUAUUCUUAAGAGUGAAUUGAAGUAUUCAUCGUUUUAUCUAGUACUGACUUUGAUUUCUCAAGACUCUUCGUAAAUAUUGGAAGAUUCAAACAUCACACAAAUUAUCUGAGCAUGAGAGAUUUAAUUUGGAAAACUGAAAUUCGACAAGUCAAUGUUGAGUUCUAAUUUUAGAAUACUAUUCACUAAUUGUUCAGUAUGAUUAUUAUAUUGUCCUGCAAGCCUGGUUUUACUUCUUCGCAAUGCACACUAAAAGGCAUUCUAAAAAUAUCUAAUUCUUUUUCAAUUGUUCAUAAUUCUUCAAAUCGUUGUUUUUUUUCAAAUUCGCCAUGAUGUUAUCAAAUUAUCUUUUUUUAUAUUUAAGCUCUCCUAUUAGCCCUAAAUCAAUGAAUUGUGGCAAACCUUGCGCUCCAAAAUUGGCUUGCUUAGCCACAUCAGAUUCUGCCCUGAGUCAAGGAGACAGAAGGAGUCAAAUACUUAAGCUUGUCAUCCUUCACAACAAUCAGUUAAUUAAUACUAGUGAAAUGAGAAGAACUCAUUUUAGCUAGCUAAUUUGUAAAUAGAAGUUGUUUGAAGCCUAGAAGGUGACCAAGAUGUAGUCAAAUAAUUGAUUUUUUCAUUGCAUUUUGAUAAUAAUUUGUCGAUGUGACAGAGAAGAUCUGUUAAAAUGCACAGUCUGUAAUCAUGCAGAAUAUUUACAUUUUUUCAUAUUCCGCAUAAAGAUUUUCUCAUGUAAUAAAGAUACUAUUUCGUAUUUCAGUUUCAAAAAUCACUAGAAGACGUAUCUUGCUUCAAGCCUCCUUUAAUUUCAUGUAGUAAAGAACAUCAGAGUAUUCAGAUUACAUUAAAUUAAGGAACUAUUGAACUAAGCUCACAGAAGCUAUGAUCAUUUACAAACUCUUCUUUAAAUCGAGGAAUAGUUUUUAUAUUUGAAGUUGUAUAUUUAUAGAUGUCUUGAUGUACGAUGCAUUUUAUGAAAAUAAUAUUGCUCUCGAGGUAGUUUUGAAACUCCCAAUAAAUGUCCAGAUAUUUUCAUAUUGUAUUUUUAAGCUCGUAAUACUCUUAAUUUAGAUUCUUAAACAUUCCACAAAGUCCCGAAAACUAUCUGGUACUUUUGUUGUUCCCUUCACGAACACAUCCAUGUUUAACAUUUGUGCAACUGAAAAUGUUUCUUAUAAAUAAUAUCAAUAACACCGUAACAUUCACAUAGGUAGGCCUAUUUUCGUUUAUGGUAAUGGAGCAGAAUUUACAAUGACUAAUCUUUACAGAAAUUUACCGAAAUAGUCCUACAUAUCAAAUAAGAAAUAUGCCGUUAUAUUUUAUCUUUCUAAGUAUUUAACUAGUUGUUUUUUUAACAAAGUUUCCGUCAAAACGUGUUUUAUAACUUUUAAAUGUUUAACCAAUGCACAACACUUGAACUGGCAUAUGUAUCAACUGCAUGAGUUCUAUACAAUUUAACAAACGUUAUAUUUCUUUUCGAAGAAAUUCGAAUUUUUUGUUUUCUUCAUAGGUCAUGGAUAGAUAAGGAAUGGUAUUUUUGUUCAGUUAGAAGUGAAGUAUCGGGACAUUGGCGAAUCCAGGGGCGAGGCGGCAGUGGAGAUCAGCCCCCCACCCCUACCCUUUUGCCGACCCUCCACGAAAAAGGGGAGGGGGACAAAUUUUAGUAGAGAAAUAACACAAUUUAUAUACGAAUACUUUACUGAUGUUAACAAUAUAUACUCAUUAAACCUAUUUUUUGAUUAUAUCACCCCCACAAGUAUACUCAAGUAUUCUGGCCGAUUUGGUGUGUUGGGGGAUGAUUGUGUCAAUCCCCACCCCAAACCUUUAGCCUUCGAGGAGAGUUGGUUCAAUUUUUUUUUUUAGAAAUUACAGUUUGUUAAUAGAAUUAGUUUCAUAUCUGUAUCUACUGCCCUCCCCACCCAAACUUUCUGAGAGAGGGGGUGGUCCAAUUUUUAUGUAAAAAUCAUAGUUUGUAAAAAAAAAAAAAAACAUAAUUGAAUAUCUAUUUAAUAUAAUUUUUAUAUUAUGUCGCUCCCCUCUGGUGUCUCGGCCGAUGUGGUGAGGUGGUUGGGGGCGAUUGUAUCUACUGUUCUCCCCAUACUAACCCUAUGAGGGGGGGGCGCGGUCCUAUUUUAUGCAGAGAUUAUAUAUAUAUUAUACAUAUAUAUAACAAAAUUAUAUUAUAUAUAUUAUAUAUAUAACAAAAUUAGUUGAAUGCCUAUUCAAUUUAAGCUACUUUUUGAUAUUUCAACCUUUUGUAUAUAAUGUCGUACCACACUUUAAUCUCAUUAAAUCAUUCUGCUGUCCUUCUUCAGUCGUAGAACGACUAUGGUUCAUCUCGUACACUUUUUCAUGUGGCUGUGAGCCCUAUUUUGGAGAGGCACUAUCGUUCACAAAUAUUGCAGGUUAAGGUGGCUUUCGCUUCAGUGGUAGAGGAGAUGGCCAUCUUUCGCAUUGUACGUUUUUCUUCCAGACCUGUGGCCCAUGCUUUUUCGCUGUCCAUAGCUUUCUUGGUCACUGUUUCUCUCCAUCUGGUGCGGUUCAAAGCUAUGUCUUCCCAAUGGUCAGUAUUGAUUUUUACUUAUUAGAUUUCCCGUUCUAUUGCAUCUAUGUAACGGAGGUGGGGGCGACCAGUUUUUCUUGAGCCAGUCGCGAGUAUCCGUAGGGAUGCGAUUGUCCAUUUUGUCCACUGUAGUAAGCUUCUUGUUUUCCUAAACUCUUGACCUGAGUCUAGUGAAGGUCGAGGCAGCUUUGCCAAUGCGUUUUCUUAUCUCCUCUUCUAGAGACAGGUCAUCUUGAAUUGUGGAUCUAAGAUAGCGGAAUUAUUUACGGCAUUCAGCUUGUUAUCGUCUAUGUAAAUGAAGGGUGGUGCUGUAACAGGUGGUCCCAUAACAUUUGUUUUCUUCGUGUUAAACCAUAUUCUUUACAGGCCUGAGAGAAGCGUGUCAUUAAGUGACUGAAGCUCUUCUUGUGAGUGUGCCACUACCGCUGCAUUAUCCGCGAAUAGCAUAUCUUUUAUGAGGAUGGUUCUGAUUUUAGUUUUGGCCCUCAGUCUGGCAAUAUUUAGAAGUUUGCCAUCAAAACUGGAAUGGAGAUAGAUGCCUUCGGUGGAUUUGUCAAACGCUUUGUGGAUUAGCCGUGAAAAUAGUAUUUUAAAGAGGGUUGGGGCCAGGACACAUCCUUGUUUGAAUCCGCUGUUUAUACUGAAACUCUCGGAGCAUAUAUAAUUGUGCUAUAAAUUAUAUUCUUAUUUUGAGUCGCCCCCUCAUCUAUUCUUUAAUGUCAAAUGCAAUCAUUAGCAAUAGUUAUAAAAAGGAAAGUGGACUCUUACAAGAUUAAUGGAUUUUACUCUACCACACCUCCCUUUUUCUGACAAAAACAUGACAUUUUAAAACAGUAUAGUCUAAUAUGGCGACAGUAAUUAAUAAUUGGGCAUGAAUUUGUAAUUAUUAUUUAAAGAAAAACUGUUUUAAAGAAUGUAUGAUUCAUAAGAAAUCUUUAACUAUAAGAGAUGAGUUCUGAAAUAUUUUUUCAUAAUCGCUUUUCCCAACAAUUACUGAAGCAUAAAUAUUUCUAUUGUAUAAUUAAAUUUGGGACUAUAACUCACAAUUUAUAAUUGAAUCCUAAAAAUACACAAAUUUACAUUAGAAUUGAAUUUGUCUACUUAAUUUCUCCUCCCUCUUCUUAAUUGAUUUUUGUUAAGAGCUCUAAAUUAUAGUUCUUUAACUAAACGAAGUUACAAACAAAUGUAUUGAUCGAAAUAAAUCACCUAUAAAUGAGAUUUUUAAAAAUAUUAUUUUUCGUCAAAGCCUUAAUCUAUAUCUGUGGGACAACUUUUCAAGGAACAAAUCGGUUAUAUUUGCAUAGUUAGGGCCUAUUAAUCCAUAUCCGGUUAUGAAUGUAAUGCGCAUUUAUAAUGAUAUGUUUCAUUUUUAUUUAUAUUAACAUACCUUGUCUUUGUAAUAAAGGUUGUUUGGUGCAUAUUCAUA
Biomphalaria glabrata is the source of this 7195-nucleotide RNA transcript. RefSeq lists it as uncharacterized. NCBI's taxonomy places the organism in Eukaryota, Metazoa, Mollusca, Gastropoda, Planorbidae. The transcript is spliced from 7 exons. The record is from RefSeq and is a predicted model, not a curated record.